Molecule: microRNA precursor, 86 nt
Filed under: Echinops telfairi (small Madagascar hedgehog)
Lineage: Eukaryota; Metazoa; Chordata; Mammalia; Afrosoricida; Tenrecidae
Source: RNAcentral
UUUGGUAUUUAAAAGGUGGAUAUUCCUUCUAUGUUUAUGUUCUUUGUGGUUAAACAUAGAGGAAAUUCCACAUUUUCAGUAUCAAA